RNAcentral lists this ribosomal RNA (491 nucleotides) under uncultured bacterium. RNAcentral describes it as "partial 16S ribosomal RNA". It matches the Rfam family "Bacterial small subunit ribosomal RNA", at positions 29 to 507 of the family's 1533-position model. The record is from RNAcentral.
GUGAACGCUGGCGGUAGGCCUAACACAUGCAAGUCGAACGGCAGCACCGUAAGAGCUUGCUCUUACGGGUGGCGAGUGGCGGACGGGUGAGGAAUACAUCGGAAUCUACUUUUUCGUGGGGGAUAACGUAGGGAAACUUACGCUAAUACCGCAUACGACCUACGGGUGAAAGCAGGGGAUCUUCGGACCUUGCGCGAUUGAAUGAGCCGAUGUCGGAUUAGCUAGUUGGCGGGGUAAAGGCCCACCAAGGCGACGAUCCGUAGCUGGUCUGAGAGGAUGAUCAGCCACACUGGAACUGAGACACGGUCCAGACUCCUACGGGAGGCAGCAGUGGGGAAUAUUGGACAAUGGGCGCAAGCCUGAUCCAGCCAUACCGCGUGGGUGAAGAAGGCCUUCGGGUUGUAAAGCCCUUUUGUUUGGAAAGAAAAGCAGCAGGUUAAUACCCCGCUGUUCUGACGGUACCCAAAGAAUAAGCACCGGCUAACUUCGUG